CGCCGCCCUGAAGCACAGCCCCAGCCCAGCCCUGCCGCCCUACAGCCCAUCCCCGCUCGACGCAACCACCCUUUCUGCCUCGCCCCGCCCCUCAUGCCACUCGCCGCCAUUCUGCCCGUCCCACCCCUCCCGCUGCUCGCCGUCACCGGAAUCGCCGAGAUGACUGGCCUCCAUGGCAAGCACGCCACCAGCGAACCCCGAAGAUCCAAGUGGCAGCCUGAGCGGUCCAGGCCCGACGCGAAGGUUACGGAGCCUCCGGCACGCCGGGCCAAGCGCGCCGAUGUCGUCCAUGCUCCUCCGCGCAAGCGCGGGUCUGCGAGGGUUGCGCGACCACCCCACCCCCUUGACAGCGAACUGGGCUCGGAAGACGCGAUUGCGGCGAUUCCUCCAGCACGUCGGGCGGAGGCGUUGCGGAGGGCUCCGUUCCGGCAGCGAGCGUCGCGCUAUCAUCUUCACCCCUUGACCAAGGUUGUCUCUUGAAUGAUGUCGCCAUGCCUCCUCCUCCUCCUCCGGCAGGCCGACGCCCCGGCUCCGCCCAAGCGCAAGGGGUCGUCUGCCUGGCCUGACAGCGCGUACCGGCUCCGCAACCGCCGAGUCCCGGAUAUCAGCAAACACGAGCCCACCCCUCCUCGGUCCUCUCUAUGUAUAUAUCCAGCCCCGCACCGCAAUCAAUUCCACAACUUUAUCUUCGCAAUGUGCGGAAUGCUUUGGAUUUUGGUUGAUGGGUGCUGAAUUUCUGGUGCACUGUGAUGUAUCCUGUAGGUAACUGUUGUAUCACUUCAGUAGCACCGUCUUCGUUGUGUGAAUUUUGGUCAGAUUGAUUUUACUACUGUGUUGACCACAUGAUGAAGCUUCAACCCCAUGACCAAUUGCCACUAGCUUUGUUGAAUAUACCAAUCUUAGCUUUGUAGCAAUUACUCCUGGAGAGUGCUGAGUGCAGACUCGUACAGUAGUAUAAGUGUGAGCUUAGUGUCAACUAUGCUAAUCAGGCUAGAAAACACCUUGCUCACAUGGAACAUCUGUACUGUUGAACAGCCGGUUUUCUUCAUACAUUCACAUGGUUAGAAGCUUGCGACGAAGGGCUUAGAACUGGCCGUGAGUGCUCGAGGUCUGCUCCUCCACAGCCAUGCCCCAGGAUGGGACCCCCCGUGUGCUCCCUGCUCUUGUGACGACGCGGUCAUUCUUACACUGGACCACUCCAGCCCCCACCACAUGUCUGCCUUCUCCGAUCUCACAGAGACCUGGACUGCCCUUACUUGGGCAUAGGAAAUGCCCAUAUGUUUUGUCGAAGUUACACGAGAGGCAUGCUAUUUAAAAUGGAUAAUUUCCAAAUUUUGGUGUAGCUCCAUUGGCCAGGACCUAACCAUAGAAGAAUGAACACUAAAUGAUGUCAAAUGAAGUACAUUGGUCAGUAUCUCCACAUAGUAAGUGUUAUUCUUGCUCCACUAGCUAGCUUACACAUCCACAUUGUCUGUCGACGGGUUCAUUGGCCGGUUAUACUAGAAGAUACCCCGCGCUGCAGCGGGAACUUUGAACAGAAACAUUUAAGUGAAAAACGACAAUUGUAUUAUAUGAUGUGAUAGCAAAUAAUGUACUGAAGUGCAAGCGCCAUGUAUGCAUAAUCAGUGCAUCAAAUGGGUUUUCAGCCAUUGAGAAUAAAUUCUCAAGUCUUCUGAAAAGAACCUGUGAUGAAAAACAAUUAAUCUUUCAUUUUCAUACAUUAGUUAGACAGCUUCAUUUCAUAACAUCAUGUUGAGCAUUAAGAUCUCCAUAGAAGACAUUCCAAUGUAGAACAUCAUCUUGACCAUUUAGAUCUCCAGUGAGAAUAAAUGAGUAUGUUACAUUUUUUGAUAUUCCGUAGAUGCAUAUGUAGAUGUUGGUUGUCAUUAAAUGGUCUUCCUGAAAUGCAGUCAGUAGCUUUCAAACUGGAACCCUCCUGUGACCAAAAUUGCUUAGUGUACCGAGUUCUCCUCCCCAAGUUUUGUCUAAUGUUGCAAGAAAUAUUAGAUGGAUACCGUAUGAGAAAAGAAAAAGGGAAAUACUAUCAGUGAGCAUUUGGAAAAUGGGAUUGACGCCUAAACCAAAACUUCAUUUGUUUAUUUAUUUCAUCUUAUUUUUAUUUAUUGAUGCCCCUCUACAAAUAUUACAAGGUAGUAGUGUUAUGUGUAGAGGGACAUUUCGGCACACAACUGGUGGUUCAACAAAUUUUGAAAAUAGGACAUUUUGGCACACAAUUAAUGACCUGUAAGUAGUGAGUGGAUUCACCGACAGAUGCAGUCCGUUAGAUCAGACACAAAGACAUGUUGCCAUAAUCCAAAUCAACGCUGAUUUUGUACUCAAGGAAACAAAUACGAUAGUAGAGCACACAUGAUUCUGCAGUGUCAAUAAGUGGGGAAUGCAGAGCAGACCACUAAGUGAUGAAACUCCAAGCAGUAAUAUGUGAAAUGAUACUUCAUCUACUACUCUACUACUGGAGUCUAUACUAUAAAAGGAGGAAGAAGCAGAUCCAAAUCACAAUCUUAGCUGCUAACGAUAUCAUCAAUGGUCUAAACAUCUUCGUUAACGAAAGUACAUCGCUAACGAAACGCCCAGCCCCGCAUCCACGUCCGAAACGCUGAGCCCCACUCCCAUGCCCCUGGUCCACCCAUAACCCAUGGUGCAUCACGCUCGAUCGGGUCAACCCCCACCUCCUGUUCCUAUGGAGAGCCGCCGCCGCUAACCGCGUUCCCCAUCUCACCCGCUACUCACACCUCACCUUGGUCACCGUCGGCCUCCCUCUCCAUUACGUCGACUCGGCCCCCAACUCCCGACGACAGACGCGCGGAGAGGAGCCAAACACAAGCCUUGGCUUGGACACGCGCGCGAGGCUUCGAUCGCUCCCAUGCAGGUGAGCCACCGUCGCGGAUGCACGAGGAGUGGUCGUCCCUUCCUCCGGGCACGCACGUGGUGUCGCCCACUGCGCCGCCCGACGCACCACGCACUUCGGCCAGAUUCGCCGCCGCCCCAUCGACCAGGUGUAAUGCUUUAUCUCGCCAGACCUCACUCACCGGACCUCCCACUGCGCAGGACGGCCCCGCCUCCUCUGCAACUUAAGGUUUGUCACUAUCAGCAAAAAAAUAUGCAACUUCUCUUAUCUCCGUGUGCUUCCAUGAUAAGAGUUGGUUCAAAUGGUAACCUCAUUGGCAUUAUGCUAUUUUUCCCUUAGAGCACAAACAAAAGAUUCAGAGGCUCAGGUUCGUGAUGCAUCUAUAGGUGAGAUUUUGAUUUUGUUCAACAUGAGUCAGUAUUGGUUUUGUCCUAUUGUUCGCUUCUUAUUUUGCACCACCCAUUAUCAUUAUCACGGUUUGUUGCACAACAUGGUGGCUGAGCAUGCUUGGAAUGGCGUGCUGAUAGCAAGGAAUUCGGGUGUCGCCUCUCUCUUUCUCCGUUGAUAAGACAUGGUUAUAGACAUGCACUGCAUACUAGAAUGCUAAAACUGAAGAUCAAGACAAGCCUUAUGUCCAUACACCAAUAAAGGAUAGUUAAGAGAAAUGCUAUUACUCGACACUCAUGAAACACUAUAUAUGGUGCCCAUGCAUUCUCCUUGCACGUGAUCUAUGUUACAACCUAGCAAUGUUAUCUCUUUUGAGCUGUAGGAAUUAAAUUAAGGCUCCAGUGUUCCCGUUGUGUGUAUACAAGGGCACUAUCCCAUUUAUCAUGCUCCUUCUGUUUUUGUAUAUACAAGGCCAUCAAUUUUGUUGUUAAUUGAACACCUGUUUUGGUUGUGAUGAUCGAUCGGCCUAUAAGAGCCAAUUUAGUUUCCUGUGAACUGGAGCCUCCUAUGUUUCAUGAUUAUCUUAAGAGCUUCCUAUUUUUCAUGAUUAUAUUAAAAUAAUUGUAGUUGAUAAACAUCACUCUUUCUCCUAUAUUUUGCUUGUGUAAGUAAUCUGGGUUGAGCGUACUUGAGGUCUUCCAUCACUUUUAUUACUUCAACAGAAAUUGUGCACAUUGUAUGAACUAACCAUUAAUGGGCAGCUGAUAUAUAUGAUGCAUGGUUGAUAAUAGCUACUUCAGGUUAUCCCGUCUGCUAUAUUUUUUGUACUCAACUACUUUUGUGAGAUCUAAACUGGAAGAGAAAAAUAGACCGAGAUAUUUGGUUCUUACCUAGAGAUGUAGUGAGGACUUCCGUAUUGAUUAGUCAUUUGAAGAGUUAACUAGAAAGUAUUUAGUAUAUCUUCAGCUAUGUUGCCAUGGGCUGUGCACAUGAUUCACAAACAAAUAAACAACAUUUUGCAUUGUUUUUUACAUGUGUGAAGCAUGUACAACAAAUUUGCUAUUAUGGACUAAAAACAAUCACUAGCUAGCUGAAUCAGCGGACACUCUAUGGGAAGGUGAACAAGCAUGCUAAUAACACGAAGUAGAGUAAUUUAAGAUAUUUUGAGAAUUCAUUGCAGUGGACUAUAUUAUGAUUCGAUUUUCUUAACCUUGGCAGAUUCUGACUAUUUAACGAUUCAAUAUUCUCUACUGAUGAUUUGUGUCUAUAAGUAUUUUUGCAUCAUGUGACCAGGUUCCUUUUUUUCAAGGUAAAUGUUAGAGAUUAGAAUCUUGUUACCGAAUUCAAGGCAAAGUUUCGUUACUAUAUUUGUAUGUGAGCUCUGAGAUAGACUAAUGUACUGCUAUCCGUAAAUGUGAGGUAAGAUUGGUGAUAUUUUUUGGCUUUUGACUAAUGCUUUCUUGAGAGUACCUUCCUGUUGAUUUUUUUUACUAUGUUAGUAGUACAAUGUUCAGAGGAGUAAAGUCAAAUGCCACAACAUGCUUAUAAUCUCAUAGACUGGUUCCUUCCCACUAUUGCAGUUGUCCCGGUUUCUUAUAUAUAGAAUAUGAUUUUGAAGCUUGACACAGAAAAAUAUCUACUGUAAUGUAGAUUACAUCACAUAUUAAACAACUUUUGGAGGCAAAGUACCGAGAGAAAUGUAGCGAGCUCUAUACGAGUAAAGUUAUGUAAGCGUUUUUUGUAAGUCUGUAUAUACACCUUUCUAUGCAUUCACUUGUUGUACUUCAGGAUUCAUCUACACUAUUUUAUGGAUAUUUUAUUAUCAAUUUAUUCUUUAUUCAUGAAUUGUCUUGCAAAUUUUUGAAGUGGUAAUGGCACAAUCAGUGAUGAUCGUGCAUGUGAGGUUGCAACCUUGGUCAUGUAGUGACUUAAUUUAUCGGCCUCUUAUAGUAACACUUCAUUUUUUGCAUGAUAUGAAUCAUGAAAAUAUUAUAGCACCAAGGCACGUGCCUAAUUAGUGGAUGUAAUAAUCGAUAUAUAGAUUCUUUGUCCUUACCUAACUAGCUUUACAAAAAAAUCUGCAAGAGGUCUUGUAGUCUCCUACAUAAUCUAGCUUGCACUCAGUAUUGUAGUAUUAUUAAGAGGGUUCACAUAUACGUCCAGUCUUCAACAAGUGGAUGAAUUGUAAUAAGUAAUACGGUGUACAUAAUGUAUACUCUAGAUUUUAUUUUUGACUAAAUACGUGCGUUGCAUGUACAUGGUUACUAGUUUCAAGAAAGGCAAGAGCAAGAAGGAAAACUUCAAGAAUGGCAAGAAAGUUGUUGUUCCAAUGCAGAAACCCAAGGUUGGACCCAAACCAGAGACCGAGUGCUUCUGUUGUGAGGGGAACACUUACUGAAAGCGGAACUUGCCUAGAUACUUGGUAGAUAAGAAGGCUGGCAAUGUCAACAAGACUAUAUUUGAUAUACAUGUUAUUGACGUGUGCCUUGCUAGUGUUCAUUGUAGACCCUGGUUAUUUGAUACUGGCUCAGUUGCUAAUAUUAGUAACUCGAAAUAGUAGUUGUGAGAUAAACGAAUACUAGAUAAGGGCAAGGUGAUGAUGUGUGUUGGAAGUGUUUUCAAGGUUGGUGUGAUCACCGUCACACACUCCGUCUACCUUCGGGAUUAGUGGUAAACCUAAAUAAAUGUUAUUUGGUGUCUGCGUGGAGCAUCAACAUUAUAUUGGUUUUGUUUAUUGCGAGAUGAUUGUUCAUGUAAGUUAGAGAAAAAUGGGUUAUUCUAUUUACACGAAUAAUAUCUUUUAUGAUCA
Molecule: long non-coding RNA, 6062 nt
Organism: Hordeum vulgare subsp. vulgare (domesticated barley)
Lineage: Eukaryota; Viridiplantae; Streptophyta; Magnoliopsida; Poales; Poaceae
Exons: 2
Source: RefSeq, a predicted model, not a curated record